This 385-nucleotide ribosomal RNA is filed under the name uncultured bacterium. RNAcentral describes it as "partial 16S ribosomal RNA". It matches the Rfam family "Bacterial small subunit ribosomal RNA", at positions 355 to 732 of the family's 1533-position model. The record is from RNAcentral.
UGGGGAAUAUUGGACAAUGGGCGAAAGCCUGAUCCAGCCAUGCCGCGUGUGUGAAGAAGGUCUUCGGAUUGUAAAGCACUUUAAGUUGGGAGGAAGGGCAUUAACCUAAUACGUUAGUGUUUUGACGUUACCGACAGAAUAAGCACCGGCUAACUCUGUGCCAGCAGCCGCGGUAAUACAGAGGGUGCAAGCGUUAAUCGGAAUUACUGGGCGUAAAGCGCGCGGAGGUGGUUUGUUAAGUUGGAUGUGAAAGCCCCUGGCUCAACCUGGGAACUGCAUUCAAAACUGACUGACUAGAGUAUGGUAGAGGGUGGUGGAAUUUCCUGUGUAGCGGUGAAAUGCGUAGAUAUAGGAAGGAACACCAGUGGCGAAGGCGGCCACCUGG